GCUCGUCAUGAAUAUUACAGUAGAAAGUUGUGCAUAUGUGAAUAGCUUCUAAAGAUUUGGGACAAUAAGUAUCCCAAUGUUGAUGUGUUUCCUUGGCUCCUCUUGUAAGAUCUCAAAACUGCCCCCAUGCAGAAAGACAAUUUCUCAUCAGGCACCAGCAGCCGGAGCACCGAGCUCAUUCACAGAGGAGUCCGAUAUCUACAGAAAGCCAUCAUGAAAUUGGAUUACAAACAGGACGAGUCCAAACACCUCGCUCCAAUUUGGCACUGAACUGGUGAAGCCGCGCCUCCAGGAAGCUCUCUGUCGUGAUUGACAUGUAAUCAGACACGCCCACUAAGGUGAGCAUUUCAGCAUCCUUUGCACAGUGCUAUGUAUGUAUUUCACAUCUGUAGAGAGAAAUUAACAAUGGUUAAAA
This 415-nucleotide long non-coding RNA is filed under the name Gouania willdenowi (blunt-snouted clingfish). RNAcentral describes it as "lncRNA (ENSGWIG00000025137.1)". The record is from RNAcentral. Lineage: Eukaryota; Metazoa; Chordata; Actinopteri; Blenniiformes; Gobiesocidae.